GGGGAUGUAGCUCAGUGGUAGAGUACUUGCCAAGCAUGCACAAGGCCCUGGGUUCAAUCCCCAGUACUACCA
Molecule: transfer RNA, 72 nt
Filed under: Heterocephalus glaber (naked mole-rat)
Lineage: Eukaryota; Metazoa; Chordata; Mammalia; Rodentia; Bathyergidae
Rfam family: tRNA
About the family: Transfer RNA (tRNA) molecules are approximately 80 nucleotides in length.
Source: Rfam by way of RNAcentral